AUGGAAGGGCCAUCGCUCAACGGAUAAAAGGUACUCCGGGGAUAACAGGCUGAUACCGCCCAAGAGUUCAUAUCGACGGCGGUGUUUGGCACCUCGAUGUCGGCUCAUCACAUCCUGGGGCUGAAGUAGGUCCCAAGGGUAUGGCUGUUCGCCAUUUAAAGUGGUACGCGAGCUGGGUUUAGAACGUCGUGAGACAGUUCGGUCCCUAUCUGCCGUGGGCGCUGGAGAACUGAGGGGGGCUGCUCCUAGUACGAGAGGACCGGAGUGGACGCAUCACUGGUGUUCGGGUUGUCAUGCCAAUGGCACUGCCCGGUAGCUAAAUGCGGAAGAGAUAAGUGCUGAAAGCAUCUAAGCACGAAACUUGCCCCGAGAUGA
RNAcentral lists this ribosomal RNA (375 nucleotides) under Shigella flexneri. Its description in RNAcentral is "partial 23S ribosomal RNA". It matches the Rfam family "Bacterial large subunit ribosomal RNA", at positions 2433 to 2807 of the family's 2925-position model. Lineage: Bacteria; Pseudomonadati; Pseudomonadota; Gammaproteobacteria; Enterobacterales; Enterobacteriaceae. The record is from RNAcentral.